Molecule: RNA transcript, 1932 nt
Organism: Rhinopithecus roxellana (golden snub-nosed monkey)
Lineage: Eukaryota; Metazoa; Chordata; Mammalia; Primates; Cercopithecidae
Exons: 1
Source: RefSeq, a predicted model, not a curated record
CUCUAUAAUGUUCUUGGUAUUAAAAAGAAAAAGCAUAUUUGUCACAGAAAUUUAGUUAACAUCUUACAACUGAACAUGUAUGUAUGUUGCUUAGAUAAAUGUAAUCACUGUAAACAUCUAUAUGAUCUGGGAUUUUGUUUUUAUUUUGAAAUGGGAGCUUUUUUGUUUACAAGUUCAUUAAAAACUAAAAACUGUUUCUGUAAGGAAAUGAGAUUUUUUUUAAACAACAAAAAAUGCCUUGCUGACUCACUAUUAAAUAAAAAUCUCCCCAAUUUUUUGAUAGACUACUUCAAGCCAUUUGUUACAUGGUAUUCCUUUGCAAGUCAAUUUAGGUUUCGUGUUAUAACUUUUCCUCUUUUUUUAAAAAAAUAAAACGAAAAACGUAAUUCUUUUGUCUGAAGGGGAAAGGCAUUCUUUCAUUUUUUCUUUUCUUUUUUUUUUUUAUGACUUGCAGGCACAAUAUCUAGUACUGCAACUGCCAGAACUUGGUAUUGUAGCUGCUGCCCGCUGACUAGCAGCUGGACUGAUUUUGAAUAAAAAUGAAAGCAUUAAAGGGUUUCCCUACAAAACAUUUUUCUUUAAAAUACUUGUGAAGUGGCUAUAAGCAGUUGACUUUCACCCUUGGAGAGCAUCACACUGUGUGAGGUUCAGUGAUUGUUGACCCUCCCCAGCCCCUCCUGCUUCUUUAAGUUAUCUGUGUGCGUGCGCUUCCUCUCAAUCUUCUUUGCACGCUCAUUUCUUUUUCUCUGACCCAUGAGAAAGGAAAACUUACUGAUGAUAAUUUUUAAGUAAUGUAAUUUAUUCAUUUAUAGCAUGUCAGGAUAAAUUAAAAGAACAUUUGUCUGGAAAUGCUGCCGGGAGCCUAUUGUGUAAAUGUUAGGUAUUUUGUAAAAUAACCUUGAAAUUGUAAAUUGACACGUGUUUGGUCAGAUUGUGUCAAGUUUAAUUUGUUUUGUUUUCUUUUUUCUUUUUUUAUUUGAAAACUACUUUAGCAAUAAUUAAUUCCAUGAUUAUCACAUUCUGCCAUUAAGGGAUAUUAGUACCGUAAUACUGAAGAAAUCUUAUUAAGUCUGAACUUUUGGGGUAGGCAGCUUCUUUGUUUCUUUUCUAUCCACCCUUGUCGGUUGAGGUAUUUGUUUCUUGACUAAUAAACCCUUUGAUACUUUUAGCCAGAAAUCGGUCUCAUAAAGCUAUUUUUGAGUAUAGUUUGUGUAAAAUAAAAAUGUUUAGCUUUGGUAAUAACUUUUCCAAGCUGAACUCCCUCUAGCAAGAUAUUUUUCAGUGCUUUUAUUUACUAUGCACUUAGACUAUGCACUUUUUCUGAAAUAUUUUUGUAACACUUUUUUGUAUUUUUGCCAUUUGAAAAGGUUGUGGUGUAGUUGGUCUGUGAUUAAGUUGCAGAUUUAAAACUGCUGUUAGCUUUGUAAAUCAAAACAUAGGUGUUUUUUGUCCUGGUAUAUCGUCAUUCCAUCUGCAGCUGGAGCUGGAAUCCCAUUGAUCUUCUAGCUACCAUUCAUUUUCUUCACUGUUCACAAAAGAAGAAUGUGAAAUUCAGUGAAUGCUGUUACUAAUCCUGUCGCGAGAUGAAUCUCAUUUCACCAAAAUUAAAUUAUGUUUUUCCGCUAAAAUGAUGAUACAAGUUGAAGACACAUCACUCUGAAAUGGGAAGACCUCACCACUUAAGGCUCCACAGUGGCUUACUCAGCUGAACUCUAGGCUACUACUCUUUACUUUGUUCACCCAUUGGGGGGUGCAGUUUUUUUAAAAUGUUGGGAGAUGGCCAUUCUAACUACUGUUGAAUGUCUCUGUUUUGGGAAGGUAUAACAAGAAAUAAAAAAGAAUAUAUACGAAGGGAGAGACUGGUUAUCUCCUCCCAUAUGGUUGUGCUUAUCCUCUUAUGGCUUACAAAUGGAUAUUUGGAGGUUUGCUUUC